Molecule: ribosomal RNA, 484 nt
Filed under: uncultured bacterium
Lineage: Bacteria
Description: partial 16S ribosomal RNA
Rfam family: Bacterial small subunit ribosomal RNA
Source: RNAcentral
AUUGAACGCUGGCGGCAGGCCUAACACAUGCAAGUCGAGCGGAUGAAGGGAGCUUGCUCCUGGAUUCAGCGGCGGACGGGUGAGUAAUGCCUAGGAAUCUGCCUGGUAGUGGGGGAUAACGUCCGGAAACGGGCGCUAAUACCGCAUACGUCCUGAGGGAGAAAGUGGGGGAUCUUCGGACCUCACGCUAUCAGAUGAGCCUAGGUCGGAUUAGCUAGUUGGUGGGGUAAAGGCCUACCAAGGCGACGAUCCGUAACUGGUCUGAGAGGAUGAUCAGUCACUCUGGAACUGAGACACGGUCCAGACUCCUACGGGAGGCAGCAGUGGGGAAUAUUGGACAAUAGGCGAAAGCCUGAUCCAGCCAUGCCGCGUGUGUGAAGAAGGUCUUCGGAUUGUAAAGCACUUUAAGUUGGGAGGAAGGGCAGUAAGUUAAUACCUUGCUGUUUUGACGUUACCAACAGAAUAAGCACCGGCUAACUUCGUG